Molecule: ribosomal RNA, 759 nt
Filed under: uncultured Porphyromonas sp.
Lineage: Bacteria; Pseudomonadati; Bacteroidota; Bacteroidia; Bacteroidales; Porphyromonadaceae
Description: bacterial SSU rRNA
Rfam family: Bacterial small subunit ribosomal RNA
Source: RNAcentral
GAUGAACGCUAGCGAUAGGCUUAACACAUGCAAGUCGAGGGGCAGCAUGGUCUUAGCUUGCUAAGACUGAUGGCGACCGGCGCACGGGUGCGUAACGCGUAUGCAACUUGCCUCACAGAGGGGGAUAACCCGUCGAAAGACGGACUAAUACCGCGUACACUUGGGAUAGGGCAUCCUGACCCAAGGAAAUGAAAUUCGCUGUGAGAUAGGCAUGCGUCCCAUUAGCUAGUUGGUGAGGUAACGGUUCACCAAGGCGACGAUGGGUAGGGGAACUGAGAGGUUGAACCCCCACACUGGUACUGAGACACGGACCAGACUCCUACGGGAGGCAGCAGUGAGGAAUAUUGGUCAAUGGGCGAGAGCCUGAACCAGCCAAGUCGCGUGAAGGAUGACUGUCUUAUGGAUUGUAAACUUCUUUUAUACGGGAAUAACAAGAGUCACGUGUGACUCCCUGCAUGUACCGUAUGAAUAAGCAUCGGCUAACUCCGUGCCAGCAGCCGCGGUAAUACGGAGGAUGCGAGCGUUAUCCGGAUUUAUUGGGUUUAAAGGGUGCGUAGGCGGCCUGUUAAGUCAGCGGUGAAAUCUAGGAGCUUAACUCCUAAAUUGCCAUUGAUACUGGCGGGCUUGAGUGUAGAUGAGGUAGGCGGAAUGCGUGGUGUAGCGGUGGAAUGCAUAGAUAUCACGCAGAACUCCGAUUGCGAAGGCAGCUUACUAAGGUACAACUGACGCUGAAGCACGAAAGCGUGGGUAUCAAACAGG